AGCCCAGCUCCCAUCGCUAAUAGCUUGGCUGUUCCCUACACUGCUGUGCACCAGGCCCUCUGCAUAGAGCUGCUUUGGGCAAGGACUACAGGGCCUGCUGUCAUCCUGGCAGGUGUCACAACAGGUUCCAUAAUCCGGACCCCUGGUCUCCCUCCGCUGGCAGGCUCUGAGCAAGGCCUGCCCAGAGAACAUGGAUGACGAGCUCUUGAUCCUGCUGACAGCACCCCCCAGCACAGACAAACUCCAGCACAUCUUGGAGGGUGGGAAACCAAGACACAGUUGGGACCUGUCUACACUACAGGUCUGUCGUGCGUUUGUAAUCUGCUGACCCCCACAUGUUGUUCAGAGCCUAUGGACAACACAGCUCCUAAAGGAUGGCCAGGCUCCUGAGGAUGUUCAGGAAGAAGGCUCUGCAGGUGGCCCCAGAGCCUGAGGGAAGCAGCUGCCAUCUUCCCCAGGAGCACAGCGGCUCCUCCGUCCCCACUGGCGGGGAAGGAGCUCCCGGCCAGGCCAGGAGGUGGGAGUGCCCAGCCUUCUGGCGGAGAAAACCCGCUCCCAGCGCAGGCGCCGAGGUGGGAGAGGCCAGGUCGAAAUGGAGCUGGGCCAGGCUGCGGCUGGGCAGGCAGGACCCAGCGCAGGAGGGGAGCCGGGCAGGGUGACUCUGGGACAUGUUGUGUGGGCAGCAGUGGCCCCAGGAGUCCAGCCCUGAUUCCCAGCAGGAGGCAUCGCCCUGCCCGGUCACUGAGGACCUUCCAGCCUCCCCAGGGCAGGAGGUGGAGGAUCCCUGUCCCACCACCAGCAGCUCGGCCCGCUCCCCAUGGGACAGCAGCAGUGCCUGGGACUCGGGCAGCAGCGAGGCCGAUGGGCGCCGCUGCUUUGUUCUAGGGACCGCCAGGGACUCAGGGGACGAGGAGGAGGAAUGGGUGGACGUGGCCUCAGAGGAGGCUGCUCUCAAUAACAGCCGAGAGCAGCUCCAAGGCGGAGAAAAGGAGGAGGCCCAGCAGCUUGUGUUCCUGCACGCCAUCCACCCCGCGUCUCGCUGCACAGCAGAGAGGGCAGGACACAGUGGAGCCGCACUGCUGCAAGGCGGCUGUGGCGGAGAGGAUUGUGCACCAUGACACCUGCCCUGGAGCCAGAGCUGGAGACCCACCUCCUCCGAGCUGCCCUGCACGCCGUCUUCACCCUGGGCAUGGAGAAGGACACCACCCAAGUGCAGGAUCUGCCUAGGGUCUUGCCAGACCUCCUGGACGCCAUGCUGGGGAACCUGCUGGCAGAGUCCCCAGACACCGACAGGCUCCAGUACAUCUUGGAGGUGAGCCCGAUGAGAGGGGUGGGGGCAAUUUUACCUUCACUCUUAGAUCCAUUUUCCAGUCUGUCCUCCUAGCUGAGCCCCCAGUGGGCAUCCUUGGUCAGGGCAGUCAGUGCAAUGCAGUGUCAGGCCCUUCCUCCUUAAAGGACAGAGGAAGGAGCUGGGACUUCAAGCCAGAGUUCUGCCUGGUUGUGUUGAGCACUAACCACAGGGCCCCUGGCUGGCUUGGGGAGUGAGAGUCUGAACCCCUCCUGGGAGAUCCAGAAGAGGGUCCUCAGAGAAGAGUCACAGGCUCCUUCCUAGAGAAACAGGAGGGCCCCAGAGAAUCAGCCCGUCUCUCCGACGGGCCCUGAGAUUUCUGAGGGGAUUGUUCAGGAAUCAGGAGUGCAGGGAGGAUGGGACCAGCCCCGACACUGAACAUUGUUCCAGUCUAGAGAGACAAUGACAAGUUUCAAGAUUCAAGAAUCGUCCUGCGGGCAACAAUCCCCUUCCAAAGCUCUGCAAUCAAUGAAUCAGAUAUUCCACCCUGCGCACAAUGUCUCAGCCCCCUGGGGAUGGGUGUGUGUCUGUGCCCAUUGAUCCUAAUCUGCCUCCU
Trachemys scripta elegans is the source of this 1904-nucleotide RNA transcript. It is a transcript of the gene named maestro heat-like repeat-containing protein family member 1, with no coding region annotated. The transcript has 7 exons. The record is from RefSeq and is a predicted model, not a curated record. NCBI's taxonomy places the organism in Eukaryota, Metazoa, Chordata, Testudines, Emydidae.